Molecule: unclassified non-coding RNA, 21 nt
Filed under: Neurospora
Lineage: Eukaryota; Fungi; Ascomycota; Sordariomycetes; Sordariales; Sordariaceae
Description: 5'-R(*GP*CP*GP*GP*CP*AP*GP*UP*UP*GP*AP*CP*UP*AP*CP*UP*GP*UP*CP*GP*C)-3' from Neurospora (PDB 2MI0, chain B)
Source: RNAcentral
GCGGCAGUUGACUACUGUCGC